Molecule: ribosomal RNA, 1092 nt
Filed under: Triticum aestivum (bread wheat)
Lineage: Eukaryota; Viridiplantae; Streptophyta; Magnoliopsida; Poales; Poaceae
Description: partial small subunit ribosomal RNA
Source: RNAcentral
AUGGAUGACUUUGUUUCAUGGCACUACAACCAUACUGGGAUUUUCACAAUCAAAACAACAUAUCAUAUGGAGUGGGAGAAAUAACAUGGACAGAAGUUGAGGAGAACCAAUUCCAUGAUUUCCUCAAGUACUUCCUAUAUGGGUAUCCUAUGGAAACUUUGAGUUCCAGCAAAGGUGAAAAUCCACUACUGGAGAGCACUCUUUGGGGCAAUUCCAUGUCAUGGUAUUAUGGCGAACCGUCACAUAAUUACUAGUUCACAGUGCCCUAUAUGCGGAUUGUACUGCGAGAGCUUGCACACUUUUUUCAAGUGCCCAAGAGUCCAAGAAAUUUGGACGUUGCUAAGUAUGGCUAGCAAGAUCAAUGACCUAUGUGAGUUGGAGAGGGGAGGCUCGUCAGUGCUGGCUGAAUUAUUACUUGCACCAUGUAUGCCAGCACCUUUUCUUCCUGAUGUGAAUUGCAAGGAGCUAAUUGCAAUAGCAUUUUGAGCAAAAAACAAGGGUCCAGGGCAAAUCAAACGACAUGGAUGGACUAAGCUGAGCGUGGGAUUUGUGAAACUCAAUGUAGAUGCAUCCUUCUUCGAGGAUAGUGGAUCGGGAGGGACAUGCAUAAUUCUCCGAGAUGCCUGUGGGAUGUUCAUAGCUGCCUCUUGUAGUAGUAUACAAUACGUCGAGGACGCAGCAAUGGCGGAGGCCAAAGGGCUACAAGACGGACUAAUUAUGGCGAAUGAUAUAGGUUGCAACAACCUGGUUAUCAAGGCUGACUGCAUGGAAGUAAUCCAAGUGAUGCUCAAUGGAGGCAACUCACUAGGGUCGACAACAGCUAUCUACGAGGAGUGCUCUUUUAUUUGUCGUAACUUUAGUUCUCUUAAUUUCUUUCAUUGUCCAAGGGAAGCCAAUAUGGUGCCAGAUUUGUUGGCUACUAUGUUUGUCGGAUUAUGGGAUCUGCAACCCUUGAGAGGUUCGAAUUCUAGGUGCGUGCGGACAUCUCAACCUCCCAGUCUGCCUACUCGCCAAUCUCACAGCCUAACACGAGGAACUCAAAGGAAAGGGGACACAGCAGUUUACCCAGGUUCGGGCCACCUUGUGGUGUAA